UACGUAGGGUGCAAGCGUUAAUCGGAAUUACUGGGCGUAAAGCGUGCGCAGGCGGUGAUGUAAGACAGUUGUGAAAUCCCCGGGCUCAACCCGGGAAGUGCAUUGGAAACUGCGAGACUAGAGUCCCGGAGAGGAAGGUGGAAUUCCAGGUGUAGCGGUGAAAUGCGUAGAUAUCUGGAAGAACACCGGUGGCGAAGGCGGCCUUCUGGACGGUGACUGACGCUGAGACGCGAAAGCGUGGGGAGCAAACAGG
This 253-nucleotide ribosomal RNA is filed under the name uncultured bacterium. Its description in RNAcentral is "partial 16S ribosomal RNA". It matches the Rfam family "Bacterial small subunit ribosomal RNA", at positions 524 to 776 of the family's 1533-position model. The record is from RNAcentral.